GGGAAAAAAAGAAAAUUAAAUAGUACCAUCCCAUGGAUGCUGUACGUGUUUAAAAAUACUUCUUUUUUUUUUUUUUAUAGAGUUAAUUUUAUACACCUCCUUGUAAAUAUAUCAACAUCAAAUAACAAAUAUAUUUUUAUAAAAUUUAAUUUUUAUAUUUAUUCGUGCAAAAGUCCAGUAGUAUUUAUAUUUGCCCUCUGGUUUGUUACCGUUAAUUGUAGCACUGUUUAAUAGAAAAUAAGUAAAAUGACAAUUUCGCUAUAGCAAAUAUAUCUCCCUAAAAGCCUCAACUGUUAGAAUUAUGCAUAAAUAUUCUUUCAAAAAUUUUCAACGGUCGUACUUCUUUCUAUCAUCACAAAUAAUAUAAAAGGGAUAAAAAGAUCAAUUUACCUGAUUCACUAACCAGGGUUAAGUAUUUUAUAUAUGGUUUAUUAUAUUUUUCUAACAAAUCCUAACAGUCGGAAUAUAUUCGAAAAUGUUAGAAUUUUUGUAGGAAUAAUUAUAAAAAGUUAAGCUUUGUAGAAAUAUAUAUGUUAUUCGAUAUGUUUACAGGAAGCUCUACGGAAUCAACCAUUUUUUAUACUAUACAAAAUUCAAAAUUCUAAAAGUGUUUUACUAUUUUCUUAUUUUUAUUAUAAAAUUGC
This 644-nucleotide long non-coding RNA is filed under the name Ananas comosus (pineapple). RNAcentral describes it as "long non-coding RNA (ACOM_LNC022750)". The record is from RNAcentral. Lineage: Eukaryota; Viridiplantae; Streptophyta; Magnoliopsida; Poales; Bromeliaceae.